Molecule: ribosomal RNA, 468 nt
Filed under: uncultured bacterium
Lineage: Bacteria
Description: partial 16S ribosomal RNA
Rfam family: Bacterial small subunit ribosomal RNA
Source: RNAcentral
GACGAACGCUGGCGGCGUGCUUAACACAUGCAAGUCGAACGGAAAGGCCCUGCUUUUGUGGGGUGCUCGAGUGGCGAACGGGUGAGUAACACGUGAGUAACCUGCCCUUGACUGUGGGAUAACUUCAGGAAACUGGGGCUAAUACCGGAUAGGAGCUCCUGCUGCAUGGUGGUGGUUGGAAAGUUUCGGCGGUUGGGGAUGGACUCGCGGCUUAUCAGCUUGUUGGUGGGGUAGUGGCUUACCAAGGCUUUGACGGGUAGCCGGCCUGAGAGGGUGACCGGCCACAUUGGGCCUGGGGGACGGCCCAGACUCCUACGGGAGGCAGAAGGGGGGAAUAUUGCACAAUGGGCGGAAGCCUGAUGCAGCAACGCCGCGUGCGGGAUGACGGCCUUCGGGUUGUAAACCGCUUUCGCCUGUGCCGAAGCGUGAGUGACGGUAAUGGGUAAAGAAGCACCGGCUAACUACGUG